Molecule: long non-coding RNA, 1156 nt
Organism: Mytilus californianus (California mussel)
Lineage: Eukaryota; Metazoa; Mollusca; Bivalvia; Mytilida; Mytilidae
Exons: 2
Source: RefSeq, a predicted model, not a curated record
CUCCUAAGGAUUGUUGUAUUUUACUUUUAAAAACGUAAAAGAUUAAAACGAUUAAUUAAUCUCUUAAACAAAAGGCUCUCGUCUUAAAAAUCAGCCACGUCGCCCCGGUAUCAAGUUAACUUGUUUUCUUCUAUUUACAAAUGGUUUAAUUCUAAGUCUGUCAAGUUGGGAUUAGCAAUGCCAGUUAAGUGGCAAUGUCCGGGCUAUCCAAAAUGUCAGAAAAUAUUUCAAUAUGGUUCAGGAUUAAAAGCUCACAUAAAUUCCUGUAAACGGGCACAGAGUAAGCGAGCGAAGAAGAAAAAAGAUGAAAUUGAGACCAUUAUAACUAUCAUUCAAUUUGUGGAGGAUAGACAACGCGGAAAUAUCACAAUUGCUCGACGGAAAGUGCCUGAUUUUAUACAGCCAAGUGCAGUGCUCGCUAGGAUUUGACAGGGAUUUCUCUUAUCUGCGACUAUUGUAUUUCAAGGAUUUCUUUUUGUUCUGGAAAUAUAUGGAAAAGAUAUGUUUAUUUAAUAUGCUGCACUUUCUAAAACAACGUAACCAUGAAAAGAUAAAUUGAUUUGAAUGUUUACAUUUAUAUUAUUCAAAAGUGGUAAUAUUCAAUAAAAGUAUUCUCAUACGAAACAAUACAUUGAAUAGAACUACAGACUUAUAUAGCUUUAAACUUUCAAUGAUUAAAAACUCUGAACUUCAUUCAUUCAAUUAGUUGUAUUGAAUUACCGAAAUUGAAAACCAGAGACGAGGGGCAUUGGAACUAUAACUAUGCAUUGAUUCGUAUAUCAACUAUCAUGGGUUUUUUUCUUGCUGGUAAAGGCUGCAUUUUACGGAAGAGCACUGUUUCUAUUUAUAUGUAGUCUUGUGUACGAUGAGUUAUUUUUUUAAGCCAGGCCCUUUUCAAUAAAUUUUUUGAAAACAUUACCAAUGAGAGUUAAAGUUUUUGAAUCUGUUAAAGGCUAUUGUUUCAUUUUUUGAAAUGUAUAUUUGUGUAACAUCAACUCCUAUGACGUGCUCUUUUCUGCGACGUAAUUGAGCUAAUAUUUUUUUGUGAUUGUUAAUGGGCAAAUGAUGCUUAGUUUAGUGUUUUUGUGUACCAUGUAAUAUCAUAUAUAAGCGCAUGUAUUAUUGAUAUAUUUCUCUCAAAUAAAAAUGAAAAUUU